CCUACGGGGGGCAGCAGUGGGGAAUAUUGGACAAUGGGGGGAACCCUGAUCCAGCCAUGCCGCGUGUGUGAAGAAGGCCCUCGGGUUGUAAAGCACUUUCAGUGAGGAAGAACGCCUGGUGGUUAAUACCCACCAGGAAAGACAUCACUCACAGAAGAAGCACCGGCUAACUCCGUGCCAGCAGCCGCGGUAAUACGGAGGGUGCGAGCGUUAAUCGGAAUUACUGGGCGUAAAGCGCGCGUAGGUGGCUUGAUAAGCCGGUUGUGAAAGCCCCGGGCUCAACCUGGGAACGGCAUCCGGAACUGUCAAGCUAGAGUGCAGGAGAGGAAGGUAGAAUUCCCGGUGUAGCGGUGAAAUGCGUAGAGAUCGGGAGGAAUACCAGUGGCGAAGGCGGCCUUCUGGACUGACACUGACACUGAGGUGCGAAAGCGUGGGUAGCAAACAGGAUUAGAUACCCUAGUAGUC
This 465-nucleotide ribosomal RNA is filed under the name Vreelandella stevensii. Its description in RNAcentral is "partial 16S ribosomal RNA". It matches the Rfam family "Bacterial small subunit ribosomal RNA", at positions 338 to 795 of the family's 1533-position model. The record is from RNAcentral. Lineage: Bacteria; Pseudomonadati; Pseudomonadota; Gammaproteobacteria; Oceanospirillales; Halomonadaceae.